RNAcentral lists this long non-coding RNA (622 nucleotides) under Dromaius novaehollandiae (emu). RNAcentral describes it as "lncRNA (ENSDNVG00000015922.1)". Lineage: Eukaryota; Metazoa; Chordata; Aves; Casuariiformes; Dromaiidae. The record is from RNAcentral.
AAGCAGUACCAUUGGAUGUUAAUGAUCAACUGACUAUCUACCUUCAAUACUUUCUUUUGGAGCUGAAGGGAGCUGCUCAGCRUCACUGUCCCAGUGAGGGCACCAGGAUGAAAGACCCAGCUCUCCUGGGGCUCGGUGGAAAGCCACCACCACAACCGUCUUCUGGUAGCACUUCCACUUACAAAAGGUAACAGGCACCCCUGUGUCACAGGCACAAGUAUGAAUGAAGCUUGGGUGGACACACGUGAGCUUACUUCAGAAAUACAGGUGUGGCCUUCAGGAGCUUGUGCUAAUUUGGCCUGUGUUUGUASAGCAUCCAGCCUAAUGGGCCAUGAUCCAUUCCUGGGCUUCCCAGCUGCUGCUGCAGUGUGCAUUUUCAGCUGGUCUCCCUUCUGUCUGUGUACGUUUACCGGUGUGGCUGAAGGGAACGCUGGAUGGGCUGCAAAUUCCUCUCAAAGAACCAGGUAUAAGAACUAUUCUAAUACCAGCAAGAACAAAUCAACAUAAAAGAUGGAUUUAUAAUCACCACGAAGAAUAUUWAAAAAAAAGUAUUUGCCUAAUCCAAAUGUGUUGUUUAUAGACACUAAAUAAAUUCUAAGGUGCAAGAUAUUAUUGUUAAAUA